RNAcentral lists this long non-coding RNA (243 nucleotides) under Helianthus annuus (common sunflower). Its description in RNAcentral is "hypothetical non coding rna". The record is from RNAcentral. Lineage: Eukaryota; Viridiplantae; Streptophyta; Magnoliopsida; Asterales; Asteraceae.
UCUCAUCUCUCUACGGUCAAAAGUAACCUGGAACCCUUGAUUGUGAGACAAUGUGACCAUCGGUUUCUAAGGUUUUUGUAUUGAUUCUUGAAGGAGUCAUCGGAACUGGCGGCACUUGAAGCAUCCAAAGGAUUCGAGAGACGAUAAUGUUCCCUGUUUCAAAUCUUUUUGAGGUGCUCAGUUUUUCUGUCGACAAGGUGGUUGUGGCGUUUGAUUUAUAGGGUUAGGGUUUUCCAGAAUUGG